This 547-nucleotide long non-coding RNA is filed under the name Capra hircus (goat). Its description in RNAcentral is "lncRNA (ENSCHIG00000001604.1)". The record is from RNAcentral. Lineage: Eukaryota; Metazoa; Chordata; Mammalia; Artiodactyla; Bovidae.
ACUCCCCGGCCAAGGACACUGGGAGGAAACAGAGAGGCUGGGAACAACCUCGAUGUCUUGGUCAAGGCGCGGGUCUGCGGCGGGGUGAACGCGCAAAGGGGGAGACAGCAGGCAAAAGGUGAACCGGAGGAAGCCGGAGCCCGCGGCGGCGGCGGGGCUGGAGCUGACCGGGCGAGGAAACCCGAGGAGAGGCCCUUCCCUUCCUGCUGCUGCUCAUCACCCUGGGUGGGGAUCCCAGUCUUCCUGACCUGCAUGGGAGGUAAUUCAGUCUGUUGAAAUAAAAGAGCUUGAAGAGAACUCUAAAGCUCUUUUCUCAGAAAGAUUGGGAGGAUGUCAAGACAGAUCUUGGUUCAAGUCCUGACUCUGCUUCUUACUAUUUGAGACCUUAGCUUUCUUAUCUGCAAAAAAAGUACGGGGUAGGGGAGAAGAGGAUAAUAUUGGUAACAUGUAAAGAGUUACAGUGAUUAACUGGAAUAAUGUGUGUAAAGCAUUUACAUGGAAGUGUUGUUGUUGCUAUUAUUGUUAUUACCUGCAGGCUUAUAGGUGA